AAAGUCGUAACAAGGUUUCCGUAGGUGAACCUGCGGAAGGAUCAUUAAAAAUAUAGCAAACCGAGCGUUAGCGAGGUUUUGCGAUCAAAAUUGUAUUUAAAACCCAACUCUUUGAAUCAAAUUUAUAAUGUAUUUUAAAAAUAAAUAAAAGAUCACUUUCAACAACGGAUCUCUUGGCUCUC
This 182-nucleotide unclassified non-coding RNA is filed under the name Glomeromycotina sp. RNAcentral describes it as "partial contains small subunit ribosomal RNA, internal transcribed spacer 1, and 5.8S ribosomal RNA". The stretch from base 1 to 47 matches the Rfam family "Eukaryotic small subunit ribosomal RNA", at positions 1785 to 1831 of the family's 1831-position model. The record is from RNAcentral. Lineage: Eukaryota; Fungi; Glomeromycota.